This 253-nucleotide ribosomal RNA is filed under the name uncultured bacterium. RNAcentral describes it as "partial 16S ribosomal RNA". It matches the Rfam family "Bacterial small subunit ribosomal RNA", at positions 524 to 776 of the family's 1533-position model. The record is from RNAcentral.
UACGGAGGGUGCGAGCGUUAUCCGGAAUUACUGGGCUUAAAGGGUGCGUAGGCGGCCAAGUAAGUCAGGAGUGAAAGUUUGCGGCUCAACCGUAAAAUUGCUUUUGAUACUGCUUAGCUAGAAUUAGGAUGAGGUCAGCGGAAUGUGGCAUGUAGCGGUGAAAUGCAUAGAUAUGCCAUAGAACACCAAUUGCGAAGGCAGCUGGCUAGACCUAUAUUGACGCUGAGGCACGAAAGCGUGGGGAGCGAACAGG